This is a long non-coding RNA of Rosa chinensis, 1646 nucleotides long. RefSeq lists it as uncharacterized. NCBI's taxonomy places the organism in Eukaryota, Viridiplantae, Streptophyta, Magnoliopsida, Rosales, Rosaceae. The transcript has 9 exons. The record is from RefSeq and is a predicted model, not a curated record.
CUUGUCAGUUGGGUAACUUUAUCUUGUUCUCUUUAUUCAUUGUUAUUGAUAGAGAUUGUUAAUUAAAUUAACUUUAUGUUUGUUUGCUCAGCAUCAGUGGGUGUUGAGAUGAUGUGUUUGAAACCUAUCACCUAACCUAAAUUCUAUCCCUUCCACCAUUUUGCCUUUGACUCAUUUUCUUUUUGGCUUUUGGGUUCCCGUCGAGAAACUGAUUUGGGGAGGGUACUACAUAGUUCCAGAUUUCUUUGCUUUGAGACGGGGGAUUGAAGAGAGAAGAAUUUAGACCUUGGUUUUGAAAGAGAGUACAAACUAAGCUUGUUUCUGGUUUGGGUAUUAAGAAGCUCGGGUACUAAGUCAAGGAUAUUUGGGUAGCAGGGUUGUGAAAGAGUGCCUGAGUGUUAAGAGUUCUGUCUUCCUUUUUUAGUUUUGAUGUUUUGGUGCCACUGGGCAUUAUCCCUUGCUGUAAGUGUUUUGAUUAUGUUUCUAUAUAAUUCAACUCUUGUACAUAUGUACUAUUGUAUAUAUGUAAUAUGUUUCUUUGGAGUAGUACGUUUAUAUAAAAUGCCAUGUUUUUUUUUUCCACUAAGAAGUGCUUAUUCUUUUACCUUCUUUUACUGUCUCUUGAGUUGUAAAUGGUUGUCAAAGACUCAAUGAUCUCUAUGAAUUUGGGAUCGGGGCGUGACAUGUAGCUUUGGUGGUGGGAGUACUAGGUAAUUGAACUUUCGAUCCAUCUCUAAAAUGGCCGUUGGUUGUAUAUUGGGAGCUAGCUAGCUGCCUGCUACUUUGAGAACAACAGAACACUGUCUCAUUUGCGGCGUCAACAACACCAUCAAUUCUCAUCUGGGACCGCUCCCUCAUUCAAGAAUCAGAUUUGGAGUUCCAAAAGCUUAAGUGAUCUUUUUGAGCAAAUGAGGCAGACCGGGGAUUAGAUUCCCUUAACCAUAUCCUGUGGAAGAUGAAGGAAUUUAAAGAAUUUGUCAUUUUUGUGAAAAAGGCGUUGAUGAUGAUUGUUAUCCAGACUGGAAUCAUGACCUCCUUGUGGCAUGGAAGAUUCUGGCAAUUGAGAAGCUUCCAAGGUUUCCACAUACCAUAAUUCUCGAAGGUGGAAGCAUCCAUGUAGAUGGAGAAGGGACUUGCCUCACUACUGAGGAGUGCCUGCUAAAUAAAAACAGGAACCUAAUUUGAUGAAGGAGCAAAUAAAGGAUCAACUUAAGGCAUAUCUUGGAGUGACGAAGAUUAUUUGGUUCCCCCGUGGAUUGUAUGGAUGAUGCUAAACCGAGACUUGCAGGCACAAGACUUGCAGCUUCUUAUGUGAAUUUCUACGUUGCCAAUGGAGCAAUCAUUGCGCCACAAUUUGGGGACCAAAAAUGGGACGAUGAGGCUGUCUGAAUCCUAUUGAAAGCCUUUCCAUACCAUGAAGUCUAAACGGUACAAACAAGAAGCUGCAAAAUUUAAAGCGGAGAUAGGCAUUCAAUGCUAGAAGGUUAUAGAACAAAUGGAAAACUUCCUUUGAAACCUAUUAUAUACUUCCAGACAUGGAGAGUUGGUACAGUUUAGUAUCACAGUGCUUCAUUUUUCCUAUAGGUUUUGGAUAUUCUAUUUCAUAUGGUUAUAAUCAGAUCGCCCUUAAUUUGUUGUUAUUCUGA